Long non-coding RNA from Sinocyclocheilus rhinocerous, 567 nucleotides. RefSeq lists it as uncharacterized. The transcript is spliced from 4 exons. NCBI's taxonomy places the organism in Eukaryota, Metazoa, Chordata, Actinopteri, Cypriniformes, Cyprinidae. The record is from RefSeq and is a predicted model, not a curated record.
CUUAAACGGCUGCUAAACGCGGGCAAUGGCGUGAGUUUGAGGCGGGGCGCGGAGUGUUUGAGAAACAUGUUUGAAAACAGUCGUAAUUGUUUGACGCUAGUGAAGAGAAAUCGCGCUCUUCAUUUUCAAGAAGGCAGUGUGUUACUUCAUUUGUAUGCUUUAACAUUACUCUAGAAAACACAUUAAAGGUCAGUUUUACCAUUACACUGUGCCAACCUGGCUGAAACUGAUAGGUCUCUGGUAAAGAAGGGGUUUCUGGGGAACAGGCUCUUCACAAAGAUAAGCCACCCCACCACUGGAACCAUCACUCUUUCACUGGAGGGAAAUCCUACAGGGAAAUGCCUUAUAUUGGAUGAAAACAAGAGGUGGAGUAACUGCUCACAGGCUUUGAGAUGAGCUUUAUGAAAACAUCAGGCCUGACAACGUUGGUGCUCCACUCCUGAGCCCUUUCCAACCCUGCAGCCUCGUUAGUCCUCACUUCUUCUUUCAUAAAAAUAAUAUAUAGAGCCGCACUGACCUACUACACUAUUUAUAAAGCUCAAAUGGUCUGUCCUGAUGCCCUCAUGC